GACGAACGCUGGCGGCGUGCCUAAUACAUGCAAGUAGGACGCCGUUGCGAACGGGUGAGUAACGCGUAGGUAACUACCUAUUAGAGGGGGAUAACUAAUGGAAACGAUAGCUAAUACCGCAUACUAGUAGAUGGAACUGCGUUGUAUUAGUUAGUAGGUAGGGUAAUGGCCUUCCGAGGCAACGGUACAUAGCCGACCUGGGAGGGGGGUCGGGCACAAGUGGACUGGGACACGGCCCCGGCUCCCACGGGAUGGAGCCGUAGGGAAUCUUCGGAAAUGGGGGGAAACCUGACCGAGCAACGGCGCGUGAGUGAAGAAGGUUUUCGGAGCGUAAAGCUCUGUUGGUAAGGAAGCGGUACUUAACCAGAAAGGGACGGCUAACUACGUGCCAGCAGCCGCGGUAAUUC
Molecule: ribosomal RNA, 407 nt
Filed under: uncultured bacterium
Lineage: Bacteria
Description: partial 16S ribosomal RNA
Rfam family: Bacterial small subunit ribosomal RNA
Source: RNAcentral